RNAcentral lists this ribosomal RNA (468 nucleotides) under uncultured bacterium. RNAcentral's name for it is "partial 16S ribosomal RNA". It matches the Rfam family "Bacterial small subunit ribosomal RNA", at positions 28 to 507 of the family's 1533-position model. The record is from RNAcentral.
GACGAACGCUGGCGGCGUGCUUAACACAUGCAAGUCGAACGGAAAGGCCCUGCUUUUGUGGGGUGCUCGAGCGGCGAACGGGUGAGUAACACGUGAGUAACCUGCCCUUGACUUUGGGAUAACUUCAGGAAACUGGGGCUAAUACCGGAUAGGAGCUCCUGCUGCAUGGUGGGGGUUGGAAAGUUUCGGCGGUUGGGGAUGGACUCGCGGCUCAUCAGCUUGUUGGUGGGGUAGUGGCUUACCAAGGCUUUGACGGGUAGCCGGCCUGAGAGGGUGACCGGCCACAUUGGGACUGAGAUACGGCCCAGACUCCUACGGGAGGCAGCAGUGGGGAAUAUUGCACAAUGGGCGGAAGCCUGAUGCAGCAACGCCGCGUGCGGGAUGACGGCCUUCGGGUUGUAAACCGCUUUCGCCUGUGACGAAGCGUGAGUGACGGUAAUGGGUAAAGAAGCACCGGCUAACUACGUG